RNAcentral lists this unclassified non-coding RNA (341 nucleotides) under soil metagenome. RNAcentral describes it as "partial contains 5.8S ribosomal RNA, internal transcribed spacer 2, and large subunit ribosomal RNA". The stretch from base 1 to 120 matches the Rfam family "5.8S ribosomal RNA", at positions 35 to 154 of the family's 154-position model. The record is from RNAcentral.
GAUGAAGAACGCAGCGAAAUGCGAUAAGUAGUGUGAAUUGCAGAAUUCAGUGAAUCAUCGAAUCUUUGAACGCACAUUGCGCCCUUUGGUAUUCCAAAGGGCAUGCCUGUUCGAGCGUCAUUUGUACCCUCAAGCUUUGCUUGGUGUUGGGCGUCUUGUCUCUAGCUUUGCUGGAGACUCGCCUUAAAGUAAUUGGCAGCCGGCCUACUGGUUUCGGAGCGCAGUACAAGUCGCACUCUCUAUCAGCAAAGGUCUAGCAUCCAUUAAGCCUUUUUUUCAACUUUUGACCUCGGAUCAGGUAGGGAUACCCGCUGAACUUAAGCAUAUCAAUAAGCGGAGGA